Acinonyx jubatus (cheetah) is the source of this 1861-nucleotide long non-coding RNA. RefSeq lists it as uncharacterized. NCBI's taxonomy places the organism in Eukaryota, Metazoa, Chordata, Mammalia, Carnivora, Felidae. The record is from RefSeq and is a predicted model, not a curated record. The transcript is spliced from 3 exons.
AGGUACAUAAAGGCAAAUGACACAUGAUUGCCACCCUGACUGAAUGUACAAUCUAAUAGGAUGAACAACAGGUAUAACUUGAUAGAAUGUGAUAAGUACCUUAUAUGAUGAACAAUGAAAAAUCACAGAUGUUCUAUGAAAAAUGAUCACUCUCGCUUUAGGAAAUAAGGAAAGAAUUUUUAUACGGUUGUUGGACUUUAAUAAGGAAUAUAAGGGAGAAGGAAAGAGGAACAAACAAGCACCUUUCAGCUUCCUUCGAUGCCAUAUAAAUUUCAUUCAUCUUCUUUGGCCUUAUUUUAGCCUUUACUUAAUCUCUCAGGCAAAGAUGGAAAAUAUUAUUUCUUUGAUCUUACCUUGGGUAAUACUCUUAUAUUUCUUCCCAAAUUUCACAUAUAUUCUAUAACAUUCUACAUUUUAAUCUUUCUGAUGUUAAUAACAGUAAGCAUAUUAAUGCAUUUGUUUAUAUCAGGACAUUUGGUAUAACUAAUACAAUUCAAAUGAGCUUUACACUUAAACACUUAUAUAUGGUUUUUCAGUGUUUCAGGGCUAUAGUUGCUAUAGGAAUUAUAAAAUGUAUCCACACUUAGAAAACUGGAACACUCCAUACCUCCUUACUGCCAUAACAUGUAAAGAUGUUCCAAGAAGCAUGAGUUCAAUCUAUAAUUCUUCUUGAAAAAAGGUAAGGUGUUUGUGUUGUUGUUGUUGUUGUUGUUAAUUCAUUAAUUAUUUCUGAGGGAGACACAGAAUGCGAGCAGCGGAGGAGCGGAGGGAGAGAGAGACACAGAAUCCUAAUCAGGCUUCAAGCUGUGAGCUCUCAGCACAGAGUCUGACACAGGACUCGAACUCACGAACCAUGAGAUCAUGAGAUCAUGAGAUCAUGAGCCCAAGUCAGACGCUUAACUGACUGAGCCACCCAGGUGCCCCCAAUAAGUGGAAAGGAUAGCAAGGGAAAAAGAAUAGUCAACAACUACACAGAGUCCUAACCAGAAUGACCAGAGAUGCUAAAAACAGAAAUGAAAAGGUGCGGCCAGACGGAUGAGUCCCUUUUAAUUGCUCUGAGGAAUUAACUUUGGAAAUAACCUUCCCCCUCCCUGCCCCUCCUCCCCGCCCACGCUCCUCCUCCAAGGCGUGUCCCAUCCAGUUUGGGCAGGAAGCCGCUUUCUCUGGAACAGUCCAAGCUGGGAUGGUGUGGAGAGCCACUCCCUGAGGGCGGGAGGACCACAGCACCCGCGGCCAGGGCCUGAGGACAGAGCCUCUGAGGAUGAGGACGAGGAAGUUGAUGCGCUUGGCCGCACAGCCCCUGCAUCCCAUGGUUCUGCAGCGGAGGAGGGGAGGGGACUGUUCAAACCAAAAAUUCUCCUACCAAGAUUCAUUUAAAUACAGUUAACUUUUGACACAUUUCAAUGAAAGCCAUUCUAUGAUAAAUUCUUGGUAAGACAUAAAUUCUUACAACGACAAGAGGAUAAUUUUCUGAAGAUUAAUGGCCAAAUGACAGCAAAAUGGUUUCUGUGGUUUGAGUCACUAGGACAGAAGUAUCUAGUGUCAGAGCUGGAAAGGAACCAUUGUACACUUUAAUUCAGUACUUUCAUUUUUACACGUUAAGAAAACUGAAGUCUAGAGAGGCUUAACCAUGAACCUGCAGUUGCUCAGGACCAAUUCCACCAAGGCAGGUCUCCUCCAUGUGAUGUCAGUAUUCUUUUCAUUCAUCGGUGAACUGUACAGAUGGAUUUUGGAUUUGGAAUAUCCUAAAUAGAUUGUGCCACUACAUAUAACUGGUUCAGCUUUUUAAGUUCACUUAUUCAAUUAAAACUUAAAAUAAAUGUGUGUAUUUACUAGUUGUCCCACAUCAAAUAAAGUUAAC